This is a transfer RNA of Apaloderma vittatum (bar-tailed trogon), 58 nucleotides long. It matches the Rfam family "tRNA", at positions 8 to 63 of the family's 71-position model. From Rfam's summary of the family: Transfer RNA (tRNA) molecules are approximately 80 nucleotides in length. Their secondary structure includes four short double-helical elements and three loops (D, anti-codon, and T loops). Lineage: Eukaryota; Metazoa; Chordata; Aves; Trogoniformes; Trogonidae. The record is from Rfam.
UAGCUCAGUCAGUGGAGCGUGACGCUAACAAUGCCAAGGUCGUGGGUUCAAUUCCCGU